GAUAAACGCUGGCGGCGUGCCUAAUGCAUGCAAGUCGCACGGAGUGUCCUUUCGGGGGCAUUGAGUGGCAAACGGGUGAGGAACGCGUGGAGAACCUACCCCGGCGUGGGGAGUACCCGCCAGAAAUGGUGGCUAAUACCGCGUACGGUCCAGGGGCGAGAGGCCAUCUGGAAGAAAGCAGUGAUGCGCGCUGGGAGGGGUCUGCGCCCGAUUAGCUGGUUGGCGGGGUAACGGCCCACCAAGGCGGUGAUCGGUAGCUGGUCUGAGAGGAUGAUUAGCCACAC
RNAcentral lists this ribosomal RNA (284 nucleotides) under uncultured bacterium. Its description in RNAcentral is "partial 16S ribosomal RNA". It matches the Rfam family "Bacterial small subunit ribosomal RNA", at positions 28 to 313 of the family's 1533-position model. The record is from RNAcentral.